This 253-nucleotide ribosomal RNA is filed under the name uncultured bacterium. RNAcentral describes it as "partial 16S ribosomal RNA". It matches the Rfam family "Bacterial small subunit ribosomal RNA", at positions 524 to 776 of the family's 1533-position model. The record is from RNAcentral.
UACGAAGGGGGCUAGCGUUGCUCGGAAUUACUGGGCGUAAAGGGCGCGUAGGCGGAUAGUUUAGUCAGAGGUGAAAGCCCAGGGCUCAACCUUGGAAUUGCCUUUGAUACUGGCUAUCUUGAGUUCGGGAGAGGUGAGUGGAAUGCCGAGUGUAGAGGUGAAAUUCGUAGAUAUUCGGCGGAACACCAGUGGCGAAGGCGACUCACUGGCCCGAUACUGACGCUGAGGCGCGAAAGCGUGGGGAGCAAACGGG